GGGAGAGGAGAGUCGGAGUCGGCGGACGGCGGUGGUGGCCGUCUGUUUUGCUCGCUGGAGACCGAAGACGGCAGCGGCCGUGGCUCGCUGCGGCCGCCGGAGGUAGAACCGCGGUGGCGGAUUUUUGGCGUGAAGAGAGAGAGAGAGUGAGAUGGGAAGGGUGCUGCUGCGUGUGUGUGUGAGUGUGACCGAGAGAGAGAAUAGGGAAG
RNAcentral lists this long non-coding RNA (209 nucleotides) under Salvia miltiorrhiza (redroot sage). RNAcentral's name for it is "long non-coding RNA (SMIL_LNC003220)". Lineage: Eukaryota; Viridiplantae; Streptophyta; Magnoliopsida; Lamiales; Lamiaceae. The record is from RNAcentral.